This 75-nucleotide transfer RNA is filed under the name Fibrobacterota bacterium. RNAcentral describes it as "Fibrobacteres bacterium tRNA-Ala". It matches the Rfam family "tRNA". Rfam says of the family: Transfer RNA (tRNA) molecules are approximately 80 nucleotides in length. Their secondary structure includes four short double-helical elements and three loops (D, anti-codon, and T loops). RNAcentral also lists the same sequence under 2 other names. The record is from RNAcentral. Lineage: Bacteria; Pseudomonadati; Fibrobacterota.
GGGGUUGUAGCUCAGUUUUGGUAGAGCACCACAAUGGCAUUGUGGGGGUCAGGGGUUCGAAUCCCCUCAGCUCCA